Molecule: ribosomal RNA, 380 nt
Filed under: uncultured Spondylosium
Lineage: Eukaryota; Viridiplantae; Streptophyta; Zygnematophyceae; Desmidiales; Desmidiaceae
Description: SSU rRNA
Rfam family: Eukaryotic small subunit ribosomal RNA
Source: RNAcentral
CCAGCUCCAAUAGCGUAUAUUUAAGUUGUUGCAGUUAAAAAGCUCGUAGUUGGAUUUUGGGUUGGAGGAGUCGGUCUGCCGACAGGUUGAACUGUCUCCCCCAUCCUUUUUGCUGGGGACGUGCUCUGGCCUUCACUGGCUGGGGCGCGGAGUCGGCGAUGUUACUUUGAAAAAAUUAGAGUGUUCAAAGCAGGCCUAUGCUCUGAAUACAUUAGCAUGGAAUAACGCUAUAGGACUCUGGUCCUAUUGUGUUGGUCUUCGGGACUGGAGUAAUGAUUAAUAGGGACAGUUGGGGGCAUUCGUAUUUCAUUGUCAGAGGUGAAAUUCUUGGAUUUAUGAAAGACGAACUACUGCGAAAGCAUUUGCCAAGGAUGUUUUCA